RNAcentral lists this ribosomal RNA (377 nucleotides) under uncultured Chloroflexota bacterium. RNAcentral's name for it is "bacterial SSU rRNA". It matches the Rfam family "Bacterial small subunit ribosomal RNA", at positions 521 to 896 of the family's 1533-position model. Lineage: Bacteria; Bacillati; Chloroflexota. The record is from RNAcentral.
UAAUACGUAGGAGGCUAGCGUUAUCCGGAUUUAUUGGGCGUAAAGAGGGCGUAGGCGGCUUUUCAAGUCGGAUGUAAAAUCUCCCGGCUUAACUGGGAGGGACCAUUCGAUACUGUUAGGCUAGAGGGCAGCAGAAGGAGGUGGAAUUCCCGGUGUAGUGGUGAAAUGCGUAGAUAUCGGGAGGAACACCAGUGGCGAAGGCGGCCUCCUAGGCUGUUUCUGACGCUGAGGCCCGAAGGCGUGGGGAGCAAACAGGAUUAGAUACCCUGGUAGUCCACGCUGUAAAUGAUGGACACUAGGUAUGGGGAGUAUCGACCCUCUCCGUGCCGAAGCUAACGCUUUAAGUGUCCCGCCUGGGGAGUACGGUCGCAAGACUA